CACAAGCGGUGGAGCAUGUGGUUUAAUUCGACGCAACGCGAAGAACCUUACCAGGGUUUGACAUGCUAGUGGUAGGGAUCCGAAAGGUGACCGACCCUCGGGGAGCUAGCACAGGUGCUGCAUGGCUGUCGUCAGCUCGUGUCGUGAGAUGUUCGGUUAAGUCCGCUAACGAGCGCAACCCUUGCUGUGUGUUACAUGUGUCACACGGGACUGCCGGUCUUAAACCGGAGGAAGGUGGGGAUGACGUCAAGUCAGCAUGGCCUUUAUGUCCUGGGCUACACACACGCUACAAUGGCCGGUACAAUAGGUUGCGAAGCCGCGAGGCGGAGCCAAUCCUCAAAGCCGGCCUCAGUUCAGAUUGCAGGCUGCAACCCGCCUGCAUGAAGAUGGAGUUGCUAGUAACCGCAGGUCAGCUAUACUGCGGUGAAUACGUUCCCGGGGCUU
RNAcentral lists this ribosomal RNA (444 nucleotides) under uncultured Levilinea sp. RNAcentral's name for it is "bacterial SSU rRNA". It matches the Rfam family "Bacterial small subunit ribosomal RNA", at positions 924 to 1382 of the family's 1533-position model. The record is from RNAcentral. Lineage: Bacteria; Bacillati; Chloroflexota; Anaerolineae; Anaerolineales; Anaerolineaceae.